RNAcentral lists this ribosomal RNA (497 nucleotides) under uncultured bacterium. Its description in RNAcentral is "partial 16S ribosomal RNA". It matches the Rfam family "Bacterial small subunit ribosomal RNA", at positions 28 to 507 of the family's 1533-position model. The record is from RNAcentral.
GAUGAACGCUGGCGGCGUGCCUAAUACAUGCAAGUCGAGCGAACAGACGAGGAGCUUGCUCCUCUGACGUUAGCGGCGGACGGGUGAGUAACACGUGGAUAACCUACCUAUAAGACUGGGAUAACUUCGGGAAACCGGAGCUAAUACCGGAUAAUAUAUUGAACCGCAUGGUUCAAUAGUGAAAGACGGUUUUGCUGUCACUUAUAGAUGGAUCCGCGCCGCAUUAACUAGUUGGUAAGGUAACGGCUUACCAAGGCAACGAUGCGUAGGCGACCUGGGAGGGGGGUCGGCCACCCUUGAACUGAGACCCGGUCCCAGCUCCUUCGGGAGGCACCAGUAGGGAAUCUUCCGCAAUGGGCGGAAACCUGGCGGAGCAACGCCGCGUGAGUGAUGAAGGUCUUCGGAUCGUAAAACUCUGUUAUUAGGGAAGAACAAAUGUGUAAGUAACUAUGCACGUCUUGACGGUACCUAAUCAGAAAGCCACGGCUAACUACGUG